Molecule: RNA transcript, 2030 nt
Organism: Rhagoletis pomonella (apple maggot)
Lineage: Eukaryota; Metazoa; Arthropoda; Insecta; Diptera; Tephritidae
Gene name: transcription factor Adf-1
Exons: 6
Source: RefSeq, a predicted model, not a curated record
CAUAUGUAACCAGAAACUUCAGUCGAAGCCAAAUGGAGCACACAGUCGUCGCCAUCAUAAAAGUAAAACUAUGGAAACUAAAAAACCAACCAACGUUAAAGUAUAAAUGAAAAUCGAGUAUUAAUUCGAAUGUACGAUUGUGUGAAUGUGCAUAUCCACAAAAGUGAGCAGGGGCGACGAUGCCUGGCCCCUCGGUGCCAAAUAGCUAGUAUUGAAGUACGUAUACAUAUACGGUGCAGAGCAGGGGAGGCGUACUGCGACGAACAAGACAGCGACAGCUAUCUCAACAGCACAGUAAGCAGCGAAAAAUGUUCAUGAGACCAGCGUGGCGAUGAGUUAAAAUUAAAAUACGACCAUCAUGCCACCACCACACACUGCGCUUUUUGGGUGGCCAGACUGCUGGCUGUAUGCCUGGGCAAUGGCUUGCAGAAGUUGUUUUUGUAGGUUAUUGAUAGCAGAGGCGCGCGCGGAGGCAGCUACGUUUGUUACGUCGCCGAUGUCGUCGUGUAUCUAUCACUGUUCCCUUCCCCCCAACCCACAGCUGCAAUCUGAACGUUGACGGCAUUCACAUUUCAUAAGUGCUGAUGUCGUCGUUGCUGACUGCUUGCGUUAGCUGUACUUUGUUGUUCGGUCGCUUGCUUGCUUGCUUCUUGUGCUGCAAAUGGAAAGCGCGCUUUCGUUCGGUAGCGGUAUGAAUACCUAGGUGGGAAAGAGAUAGCUAUAUAACUGCCGGUGCGUUGCGAGUGUGAGCACAGUGUGGCAGAUGUGUAGCAAAUGCUAGAACUGCGUCGUUUGCCAACGACAAUUCAGCAUUACGAAGCAGGGAGGGAUCGCAAACUACAAAGCAGCACUGUAAAGACGGACAGUGGCAGCGACAAUUGUGUGUACGCGGUGUUCGUUGGCGACGUUCUGCAGUUUACCUUGUCUCAUUUUCACUACCGUCUACAUAGUCUCAUUCGAUUCUAAUUCGAUUUGAUUUCUGUUUUAGAGUGCUUCGCGACGUUUUUCGUUUCAGUCAUGUGGUUGUUUCAUUUUCAUUUACGUUUGUUUACAUAGCACUAAUUCAUUGAAUAAAACAUUUUGUUGGUCUUCGCCAUUUGGAAUCAGAUGUGUAAACAAAAACAAAAAUGCACUAAACGUUGGAAGAGUUUGCGCGAUAAAUUUGCGCGGGAAAUGAAAUUGUGCCAGGAAUCGCGUUGGCGUUACUUUAAGCAAAUGCAGUUCUUAGUCGAUUCGAUAAGACAAUAUCGCGAAUCGCUUUUGGGUAAAUGUAAUACUGUACAGCAGAAUACCAAUCAAGUAACACAAGUUGAUCCAAAUCAACAACAACAGCAGCCUCAGCAACAGGCUGUCGUAGAUAUAUUUGCACAGCCCUUCAACGGCAGUGCUACCACAUCGGCUCAAGCGCUUGCUCAUCCGCAUGAAAUUGCAGUUACAGGCGACACUCAAUUAACCGCCGCCGGUAAAGAUCAAAAACCAUAUUUCUAUGAGCCACCACUGAAGCGCGAGCGUACCGAGGAAGAAAAUCACGACAAUAUGCUAAACACAAUCAAGAUUUUCCAAAAUUCGAUGUCGCAGGCAGUUAGUGCUGAGGAUCAAUCGUUUGGCAUGGUGGUCACUGACAUGCUUAACACCUUGGGUGUGCGACAGAAGGCUGAAGCAAAGGUGCACAUCAUCAAAUACCUUACGGAUAUGCAAUUGCUGGCACAGCAUAACAAAUAUUAGAUGGAGUAACGCGUGGCGAUAUGCAUAUUUAAUGUGUUUGUAGAAGUUUUGAAAUAGCUACACAUGCGUUCAUGCUUAAUUUAAAAUACCAUAUUUCGAUAUACGUGCAUAGUUGUAACAGGGAAGAAUAUAAAUAAGUGGAAUAAUUGCCGAUGGCACUUCUUCAAUCUUAAUUGGAUUUAUUGUAUUUACCUAUUAGAAAUUAUUCGCGUAUAAGAGCUUAAUGUAAUACAUACUUAUGUAUAUACAUACAUACUAUAAUAUGAAACAUGUAUACAUGUGAAUUUAUAAAUGAAAAAACAAAA